CGCCACGGCGUCAAACGAGGAGUCAAUGCAGCAAUGAAUCGUGUCUUGUGUGCCCCGGCGGCCGGGUGAGCUCCUCAAGGUCUCGGAGGGCCGAGGGCAGACACCGGCGGGCGGGCGGAGCGCUUACUGCUCUCUCUCUUCCAGGGCCGUCCGGGCGCUGAGGCUCAUAGGCUGGGCUUCCCGAAGCCUUCAUCCGUUGCCCGGUUCCCGGGAUCGGGCCCACCCUGCCGCCGAGGAAGAGGACGACCCUGACCGCCCCAUUGAGUUUUCCUCCAGCAAAGCCAACCCUCACCGCUGGUCGGUGGGCCAUACCAUGGGAAAGGGACAUCAGCGGCCCUGGUGGAAGGUGCUGCCCCUCAGCUGCUUCCUCGUGGCGCUGAUCAUCUGGUGCUACCUGAGGGAGGAGAGCGAGGCGGACCAGUGGUUGAGACAGGUGUGGGGAGAGGUGCCAGAGCCCAGUGAUCGUUCUGAGAAGCCUGAGACUCCAGCUGCCUACAGAGCGAGAACUUGACGGGGUGCCCGCUGGGGCUGGCAGGAAGGGAGCCGACAGCCGCCCUUCGGAUUUGAUGUCACGUUUGCCCGUGACGGUCCUGGCUAUGCGUGCGUCCUCAGCACUGAAGGGCUUGGCUGGUGGAUGGGGCACUUGGCUAUGCUGAUUCGCGUGAAGGCGGAGCAGAAUCUCAGCAGAUCGGAAACUGCUCCUCGCCUGGCGCUUGAUGUCCAAGGAUUCCAUCGGCAAGACUUCUCAGAUCCUUAGGGAAGGUUUCAGUUGCAAUGUAUGCUGUUGGAUUUGCCAAGUCUUUGUAUAACAUAAUCAUGUUUCCAAAGCACUUCUGGUGACACUUGUCAUCCCAUGUUAGUUUGCAGGUAAUUUGCUUUCUGAGAUAGAAUAUCUGGCAGAAGUGUGAAACUGUAUUGCGUGCUGCGGCCUGUGCAAGGAACACUUCCACAUGUGAGUUCUACACAAUAACAAAUGAAAAUAAAUUUUAAUUUUAUAAUAUGGGA
Molecule: small RNA, 1005 nt
Filed under: Pan troglodytes (chimpanzee)
Lineage: Eukaryota; Metazoa; Chordata; Mammalia; Primates; Hominidae
Description: retained intron
Source: RNAcentral